CAGCCCCUGCCCUUACUCCUGCACCCCAGGGCCGCCAUGUCCCGUGCUGAGGAGCUGGGAGACUGGUGGGGAAGGGGUCCCCGACCCCUGUCCCCAGCGAGCAGAGCAGGGAUGCCGCGGGGAUACGGGUGUGCUCACCUAAGUAGGGCAGCCUUUGCCACGAGCAAAGCUUGUUUUGCUUUUUGCUCUGCACCUUAAGUCACUGAAGGCUUGUGUGUUGGUAAGAGGCAAAGCCACGCUUCUGGGAUGAGGGACCACGCUGCCCUGCCCAAGUAAUAAGCUGGAAAACAGCACAAGCACAGCUAUUUAGUCUGCUGUGUUUGCAAGUGCCUGGGAUACAAAUGAGGCACAGCAGACUGUACUAAUGAGAUUGCCAGAAGCCAGUCUGGGGACAUUUACUCCCAGACUGGUCACCCUGCCUGCCCCCAGCUGUGAUCAAUUCCCCAGUAACCUUCACCAGAUUAAUCUGGAACAUACCUGACAGGAAUCCAAACACCUCAGUCAGUUGAGGCAAAGAAAAUAUUCCUAUUUCCUCCCCAGCCUAGCAUUCAUUUUCACUAUGACAAAUGGGUAUCCAGGUCUCUUCACACAUGGUACAAUGGAUUUGUGCCAGAAUCUUUCCCAGGUACAAAAGUUCUCUGGGUUUCAUAGCUGGAAGUUAGAUUUUUAUCAAGUUAGGUGUGAUUUUAUAGCAAGGCGUGUAGUUUAAGUGAGUGGGUGCAAAUCCUCCAUUUGCUUUAAGGUUAAGUGUCAUUCACUGUGCAUUGUUUGCUUGCUCUUAGAAAGCAACAGUGAGCAGCCCAAGCUGGAUCCAGCUUCCAGUCUCUGAUUACGCUCAGGUAAAGCAGGGAGUUUCUCUUUGCCUUUUUCCAGCAAUAUCUUUUGCUAUCAGUAACUGCUAGUGGGCUCUUGAGUUCUGAUAAUAGCAAAUAACAGACGUCAUCUUUCAGGUCCUGACAUCUUCCACAGUCAAUUCCCCUGCCACUGCUUGCUCAUCCUCACUGACUGGCUGUGCAGUACCUCAGCUGUGGCUCUCUGGCUCUGCAUAGGCUGUUACCCAGUCACUUGGCGUACCAAUUCACAUUGAGUAUGGGUUUAACAUUCUGUCUUUGAGCAGGAGGAAGAGACACAAACUGUUUCCAUGUAGUCUGUCCUGCCUCUUUUAGAAUAACUGGAAACAACGCACCCUUUUGUUUGGCUUUUUUUUUUUUUCUUCUGCUAUACCUGCAGCACACCUGAUUGAUGUUCUCCUCAAAACCUUCUUGUUUACCUCUGAUGCAUGUAACAUUUUUAGCACAACAUUAAACUUAAGUCAUCCAACUGUUGUAUUCUGUUUGUGGGAGGUCCUCCUUCACUAGUAGAUGAAAGAUGACCCGGUCAGCCCUCAGCAGAAGGGAACAAGACAGCAGGAAAGAUGGGAGACCCCCUUCUGUGCAUGAGAGCAAAGAGAGCCCAGCUCAGACGCUUAGCACUGAGCAUAUACCAGCUACACUCAAGCAUUUUCACCUUGGUGUUUCCCACUACAGCUGUCCCUGGCUAAAUAAUUAGCUAAUUAUUAUGCCUUUCUUAGGCUAGUCUUUUGUCUUUGGCUCUUAAAAUUCUCACCUAAGGAAAUACUCCUUCUCCUAUUGAUUCUGAGCUACUUCUGUGCAUGUACAGAGGUUUAGCCUCUGAUUGCAAAUGGAGCAUGCAAGAGAUUAACAACCCUAUGGAUUUAAUCUAAGGGUUUAUGAAAUGCUUCUCCCACACGUGCAAGCAAAGCAAUCAGCUGCUGGCUGGAGCGUUCAGAGGCACGGGGCUUGGUGUGAGCUGCGCGUCUCCAGGUGUCAUGGAGAUGUUAAGCAGCUGUUGCGUACCUUUGCUGGCAAGCUGAAUGCUUACAGACCUUGAACUGAAUGAGUACCACAUCUUGCUACAGCUGGUCCAGAGCUGUGUGAGCAGCUAUUGAGCCACCAGCAGUCCAGUUACGUCACGGUGAGUGUUGCAGAUGUGUGUUGCAGCAAUGGGGCCCUGUCCCCAGGACCCACUGUUUGCUCCUGUCCCUGUUCUGCCCCCUUGCUUGGGCUGCUGCAGCACCCCGGGCUCACCCUGUGAAUCAGACCAGGUGACUGACACAUCAGGGGGUGACUCAAGUCUUACCUCUCACAUCUACGAUGAGUGUUGAGAAUUACUGAACCCUUCUGGCUGUGGCACCCAGGGUGACAACAUUGGUGCUUCACAUCUUAUUUUCAG
Molecule: long non-coding RNA, 2232 nt
Organism: Oxyura jamaicensis (ruddy duck)
Lineage: Eukaryota; Metazoa; Chordata; Aves; Anseriformes; Anatidae
Exons: 5
Source: RefSeq, a predicted model, not a curated record